This 612-nucleotide ribosomal RNA is filed under the name Hyphodontia palmae. Its description in RNAcentral is "eukaryotic LSU rRNA". It matches the Rfam family "Eukaryotic large subunit ribosomal RNA", at positions 62 to 654 of the family's 3401-position model. Lineage: Eukaryota; Fungi; Basidiomycota; Agaricomycetes; Hymenochaetales; Schizoporaceae. The record is from RNAcentral. RNAcentral also lists the same sequence under 1 other name.
AAACUAACAAGGAUUCCCCUAGUAACUGCGAGUGAACCGGGAAGAGCUCAAAUUUAAAAUCUGACGGUCUUUGGCCGUCCGAGUUGUAAUCUGGAGAAGCGUUUUCCGCGCUGGACCGUGUACAAGUCUCUUGGAACAGAGCGUCAUAGAGGGUGAGAAUCCCGUCCAUGACACGGACUACCAGUGCUUUGUGAUACGCUCUCGAAGAGUCGAGUUGUUUGGGAAUGCAGCUCAAAAUGGGUGGUAAAUUCCAUCUAAAGCUAAAUAUUGGCGAGAGACCGAUAGCGAACAAGUACCGUGAGGGAAAGAUGAAAAGCACUUUGGAAAGAGAGUUAAACAGUACGUGAAAUUGUUGAAAGGGAAACGCUUGAAGUCAGUCGCGUUGUUCAAGACUCAGCCUGGCUUCUGCCUGGUGUACUUCUUGAUCGACGGGUCAACAUCGAUUUUGGCCGGCGGAUAAGGGUCAGGGGAAUGUGGCACCUUCGGGUGUGUUAUAGCCUCUGAUCACAUACGUCGGCUGGGAUCGAGGACCGCAGCGCGCCCUUGUGGCCGGAGGUUCGCCUCACGUACCGCGCUUAGGAUGUUGACAAAAUGGCUUUAAGCGACCCGUCU